Molecule: ribosomal RNA, 253 nt
Filed under: uncultured bacterium
Lineage: Bacteria
Description: partial 16S ribosomal RNA
Rfam family: Bacterial small subunit ribosomal RNA
Source: RNAcentral
UACAGAGGGCGCAAGCGUUGUUCGGAUUCACUGGGCGUAAAGGGCGCGUAGGCGGUCGGGUAAGUCUGAUGUGAAAUCUCACAGCUUAACUGUGAAACUGCAUUGGAUACUAUCCGGCUCGAGGAAUGGAGGGGAGACUGGAAUACUUGGUGUAGCAGUGAAAUGCGUAGAUAUCAAGUGGAACACCAGUGGCGAAGGCGAGUCUCUGGACAUUUCCUGACGCUGAGGCACGAAAGCCAGGGGAGCAAACGGG